CUUGCUAACACCAACCCAAGUCUCACGUCCCCUUUAUUUUCCCCCUCCCUCAUCGCGCCGACGCCGUCCAUCCCUCAGGAACCUGGACUCCGCCGGGGCGGGACCCCGGCAAGUGGCGCCCGAACAGGGACCUGAAGGGACACUUCAUCUCCUUGGUGGAUUCCUGAUCAUCUGAUUCGACAUGUACCGCAAGCAGCAGACGAGCCCCAGCUUCCGAGUCAAGAUAGAUGAUGAAUCUCCCCCAGUAGCCCAGAUGAGACGACUUUCACUCCGCGAGAAACCUUCUAAACGUCUGGCUCCCCAUCCGCACUCGCCUCCGCCCUCCUAUUCUUUCUACUGACUCUGGCAAAAUUCAACCACACUUGUUGCAGGCCAUAGCCGCUUUACACAAUGUUGUACUGAUUAGACCAACAGGAUCACAGUUGUAUAAGGUUAAGGCCUGUGUCCUGGCCCCUUAUGUUUUCUUGGCCUUUCCUGUACACAGUUUUGCUAUGUCUAUCUCUUUUAAUAAUUCUCGUUAUGAUAUCUCCUGUCCAGAUUGUAUUUUUAACUAAUUGUUUGAGCCCUGAUGUAGAGGUACAAGCUGUAAUCGUAUUACAACAACCCCCCUGCCUCAUGCUGCCUGUUCACCUGUCUGGACCUUGGUAUGAUGAUGUUGGAUUGCUUACUUUGAAACAGGCUACUGAUCUUUUACAGCGCCCCCGCCGGUUUAUCUCUGCUUUAAUAUUGGGUAUCUCAGCCUUGAUUGCAUUAGCAACCUCUCUCACUGUAUCUGCUGUAGCGCUGACUAAA
Molecule: non-coding RNA, 792 nt
Organism: Equus caballus (horse)
Lineage: Eukaryota; Metazoa; Chordata; Mammalia; Perissodactyla; Equidae
Source: RefSeq, a predicted model, not a curated record